This 253-nucleotide ribosomal RNA is filed under the name uncultured bacterium. RNAcentral describes it as "partial 16S ribosomal RNA". It matches the Rfam family "Bacterial small subunit ribosomal RNA", at positions 524 to 776 of the family's 1533-position model. The record is from RNAcentral.
UACGUAGGUGACAAGCGUUGUCCGGAUUUACUGGGCGUAAAGGGCGCGCAGGCGGCUCUUCAAGUCAGAUGUGAAAGCCCCGGGCUCAACCUGGGAACUGCAUUUGAGACUGAAGAACUCGAGUUCGGGAGAGGAUGGCGGAAUUCCCAGUGUAGAGGUGAAAUUCGUAGAUAUUGGGAAGAACACCGGUGGCGAAGGCGGCCAUCUGGACCGAGACUGACGCUGAGGCGCGAAAGCGUGGGGAGCAAACAGG